CGGACACGGGUUCGUUGGAAUGUAACCUUAAAGGUUGAACCGUAAA
Molecule: non-coding RNA, 46 nt
Submitted as: unclassified sequences
Source: Rfam